RNAcentral lists this ribosomal RNA (355 nucleotides) under uncultured bacterium. RNAcentral's name for it is "bacterial SSU rRNA". It matches the Rfam family "Bacterial small subunit ribosomal RNA", at positions 527 to 881 of the family's 1533-position model. The record is from RNAcentral.
GAAGGGUGCAAGCGUUAAUCGGAAUUACUGGGCGUAAAGCGCGCGUAGGUGGUUCGGCAAGUUGGAUGUGAAAGCCCCGGGCUCAACCUGGGAACCGCAUCCAAGACUACUGGGCUAGAGUACGGUAGAGGGUGGUGGAAUUUCCUGUGUAGCGGUGAAAUGCGUAGAUAUAGGAAGGAACACCAGUGGCGAAGGCGACCACCUGGACCGAUACUGACACUGAGGUGCGAAAGCGUGGGGAGCAAACAGGAUUAGAUACGCUGGUAGUCCACGCCGUAAACGAUGUCGACUAGCCGUUGGGCUCCUUGAGAGCUUAGUGGCGCANCUAACGCAUUAAGUCGACCGCCUGGGGAGU